AAUGGGCUCCACAGGGAAAGCUGAUGAAGUCAGCCACAGGAAGUGAUGGCGCCUCGGCUGCAGCCACUCUGCCCAGCGUCUCCCAUCCUCUGACAGCACCAUAUUUCAGUGGACUCUUUCUACACGACAGCCUGUACUGUCCCUGUCUCCUCUGGGUGUCAAUGGGACGCCUCCCAUCAUCAGAUGGGUGAUUUCACAUCCUGGUGGCGGCAACAGUCUUUUCUGUAGCAGAGUAACGUGGCCUGACUCCAGACAGCUUGGUGACCCCUCCUUAGUUCUUGGCUGGCUGCUCUGAUCCAUCUCGUGAUGUGCGUGAGAAGAUGAGCUGGGUUGGAAAUUCUUACCACAUGAUCACUGCUACUCUUGGAGAGAGUGUGUGUGUGUUUGCCUGUGUCUCUGGAACACAUCAUGUUAAGUUACACUCAAGAAAAUAAGAACAGGGGAUGCCUGUGGGUUUGCCAUACUGCCUUCUGUGUGCCUUCUACUAGCCAUUAAUCACUCUGUUAGUUAACCGCUGAGCUGCUGAUGUAUUUAUCUUAAUGAGCAACUAAAUGAGAGAAACCAAAGUCUGGCCUUCCAAGAGGCCUGGUCUACAAGGCCAACUGAGACCAGGUCACACCUAAACUGAUCUUCAGCUCCACGAUGUUCCAGGUGACUCACCACACGCCUGAGUGAUCCCAGAGAGUCCAGGUUUGGUUUAGGGCUGUGUAUCUGGGGAAAUCACACACUGGCAGAGGAGAAAAACACAGAUCGUAUACUGCCCCCAGUGGACAACUGGUUGAACAGUUUAACAGCGCACCCCUCACUCACACUGGAUCAACACUGCCACCUAUAGGCAGUCUCUGGAUGCACAGGCUCACACUAGGUUUUCUCACUAGAUAGAGAAUAAAUGUUUCUUGGUUUCAUUUGUUGUGUUUUGGAAAGUAUUUCAACAUCGCAUUUUAAUUACGAAAUGCCAAUGUUUGAUUUAAACGAAGAAAAGGCAAUUGCAACAAAUAGGUGCCAUACAUUGUGAGAUGCUUUCGUGACCGCAGAUUAACGAUCUGCACAGAGACGGUGGGUAAACAAGUGACAUGAAUAACUUCCAGACAGGAAGUUAGAGAUUUGAAUGGGAUCUUAAAGCGGCAAUCACCAGUUUAAUCAACAGCAAAGUGAUGUCCUGCUCCCUGUUUCAGUAAAAAGCUGAGGGAUGGGGCUGGAGAAAUUUAACCAGAGCUAACACUGACCGUCCAUUAUAUAAAAAUGAUAAUUUUCACCAUG
Oncorhynchus nerka (sockeye salmon) is the source of this 1260-nucleotide long non-coding RNA. RefSeq lists it as uncharacterized. Lineage: Eukaryota; Metazoa; Chordata; Actinopteri; Salmoniformes; Salmonidae. The record is from RefSeq and is a predicted model, not a curated record. The transcript is spliced from 2 exons.